AUUGCUUGUUGGCCUUUUGGCCAAGAUCAAGUGUAGAGAUCUGUUCUUAUCAGUUUAAUAUCUGAUUGGUCCUCUGAGGACCACAUAUUAAAUGGAUUUUUGGAGCAGGAGAUGAAAUAGGAGCUUGCUCCACUCAUGCUGCGCAUUGAGCCGGCAUUGCAGUACCUCUGGGAAAGGCGCACUCACU
Molecule: small nuclear RNA, 187 nt
Organism: Pteronotus mesoamericanus
Lineage: Eukaryota; Metazoa; Chordata; Mammalia; Chiroptera; Mormoopidae
Product: U2 spliceosomal RNA
Exons: 1
Source: RefSeq, a predicted model, not a curated record